Molecule: ribosomal RNA, 253 nt
Filed under: uncultured bacterium
Lineage: Bacteria
Description: partial 16S ribosomal RNA
Rfam family: Bacterial small subunit ribosomal RNA
Source: RNAcentral
CACGGGGGGAGCAAGCGUUGUUCGGAAUCACUGGGCGUAAAGGGCGUGUAGGCGGUCAGGUAAGUGAGACGUGAAAUGCCCCGGCUUACCCGGAGACCUGCGUCUCAUACUGCUUGGCUUGAGUACGGGAGAGGGUGUGGGAAUUCCUGGUGUAGCGGUGAAAUGCGUAGAUAUCAGGAGGAACACCGGUGGCGAAGGCGCACACCUGGCCCGAUACUGACGCUGAGGCGCGAAAGCUAGGGGAGCAAACGGG